UUGCCAUCAGGUAAAGCUGGGAACUCUAGUGAAACUGCCGUCGCAAGACAUGAGGAAGGAGGGGAUGAUGUCAAGUCAUCAUGGCCUUUAUGCCCAGGGCUACACACGUGCUACAAUGG
RNAcentral lists this ribosomal RNA (119 nucleotides) under uncultured bacterium. RNAcentral describes it as "partial 16S ribosomal RNA". It matches the Rfam family "Bacterial small subunit ribosomal RNA", at positions 1115 to 1233 of the family's 1533-position model. The record is from RNAcentral.